CCACGCUAUGAUAAGUAUUUCCACGUGUUUUGUAUAAAUAAACCAGCUCAAGCGUACCAGGUAUCCGUAGGAGUUUGAUAUCUGCUCAGAUGACGCUGCGCGUGCUAAUACAUGCAAGUCGAGCGAACAGAUAAGGAGCUUGCUCCUUUGACGUUAGCGGCGGACGGGUGAGUAACACGUGGGUAACCUACCUAUAAGACUGGAAUAACUCCGGGAAACCGGGGCUAAUGCCGGAUAACAUGUUGAACCGCAUGGUUCUACAGUGAAAGACGGUCUUGCUGUCACUUAUAGAUGGACCCGCGCCGUAUUAGCUAGUUGGUGGGGUAACGGCCUACCAAGGCGACGAUACGUAGCCGACCUGAGAGGGUGAUCGGCCACACUGGAACUGAGACACGGUCCAGACUCCUACGGGAGGCAGCAGUAGGGAAUCUUCCGCAAUGGGCGAAAGCCUGACGGAGCAACGCCGCGUGAGUGAUGAAGGUCUUCGGAUCGUAAAGCUCUGUUGUUAGGGAAGAACAAAUGUGUAAGUAACUGUGCACAUCUUGACGGUACCUAACCAGAAAGCCACGGCUAACUACGUGCCAGCAGCCGCGGUAAUACGUAGGUGGCAAGCGUUAUCCGGAAUUAUUGGGCGUAAAGCGCGCGUAGGCGGUUUUUUAAGUCUGAUGUGAAAGCCCACGGCUCAACCGUGGAGGGUCAUUGGAAACUGGAAAACUUGAGUGCAGAAGAGGAAAGUGGAAUUCCAUGUGUAGCGGUGAAAUGCGCAGAGAUAUGGAGGAACACCAGUGGCGAAGGCGGCUUUCUGGUCUGCAACUGACGCUGAUGUGCGAAAGCGUGGGGAUCAAACAGGAUUAGAUACCCUGGUAGUCCACGCCGUAAACGAUGAGUGCUAAGUGUUAGGGGGUUUCCGCCCCUUAGUGCUGCAGCUAACGCAUUAAGCACUCCGCCUGGAGAUGCCC
Molecule: ribosomal RNA, 959 nt
Filed under: Staphylococcus pseudintermedius
Lineage: Bacteria; Bacillati; Bacillota; Bacilli; Caryophanales; Staphylococcaceae
Description: bacterial SSU rRNA
Rfam family: Bacterial small subunit ribosomal RNA
Source: RNAcentral